This 74-nucleotide transfer RNA is filed under the name Marmota monax (woodchuck). RNAcentral describes it as "tRNA.Ala". Lineage: Eukaryota; Metazoa; Chordata; Mammalia; Rodentia; Sciuridae. The record is from RNAcentral.
AUGGGAAUGAUGCUCUAUGGUAGAGUGCUUACCUAGCAUGUGUGAGGCCCUGGGUUCAAUCCCCAGCCCCCAGA